Molecule: ribosomal RNA, 854 nt
Filed under: uncultured organism
Description: bacterial SSU rRNA
Rfam family: Bacterial small subunit ribosomal RNA
Source: RNAcentral
UCCGUGCCAGCAGCCGCGGUAACACGGAAGCCCCGAGCGUUGUUCGGACUCAUUGGGCGUAAAGGGUGCGUAGGCGGCGCGGAAAGUCCGGCGUGAAAGGCAGGGGCUCAACCUCUGGACUGCGUUGGAUACUUCCGUGCUUGAGGACUGGAGGGGAGACUGGAAUUCACGGUGUAGCAGUGAGAUGCGUAGAUAUCGUGAGGAAGACCGGUGGCGAAGGCGAGUCUCUGGACAGAUCCUGACGCUGAGGCACGAAGGCUGGGGGAGCGAACAGGAUUAGAUACCCUGGUAGUCCCAGCAGUAAACGAUGUGAGCUUGAUGUGGGGGGGUUCGACCCCUUCCGUGUCGAAGCUAACGCGAUAAGCUCACCGCCUGAGGAGUACGGCCGCAAGGCUAAAACUCAAAGAAAUUGACGGGGACCCGCACAAGCGGUGAAGUAUGCGGCUUAAUUCGAUGCAACGCGAAGAACCUUACCUGGCCUUGACAUGCAUUGUGUCGUCGGUGAAAGCCGGCUAGUCCUGGAAACAGGACGCUUUGCACAGGUGCUGCAUGGCUGUCGUCAGCUCGUGUCGUGAGAUGUUGGGUUAAGUCCCGCAACGAGCGCAACCCUUGUGGUCAGUUACUAACCGGCUUAGCCGGAGGACUCUGGCCAGACUGCCCUGUCAAACGGGGAGGAAGGUGGGGACGACGUCAAGUCAGUAUGGCCCUUAUGGCCAGGGCUGCACACGUACUACAAUGCCCGGUACAAUGUGAACCGAAACCGCGAGGUGGAGGAAAUCGCUCUUGAAAACCGGGCCCAGUUCGGAUUGGAGUCUGCAACUCGACUCCAUGAAGUCGGAAUCGCUAGUAAUGGC